AAUUCCCUCCCAUGAACCCUCUCUGGUAUGGCCUUCUCGGCUUCUGGAUGACUGUCAUGGGAACGCUGUCUGUUGCUGGUAACUUUGUUGUCAUCUGGGUAUUCAUGAAUACCAAGAGUCUACGAACACCUGCCAACCUGUUAGUCGUCAACCUGGCCAUCUCCGACUUCUUCAUGAUGCUUACCAUGACUCCUCCUCUUCUGGUCAAUGCUUAUUGGGGAACGUGGGUUUUCG
This 234-nucleotide unclassified non-coding RNA is filed under the name Hevea brasiliensis (rubber tree). Lineage: Eukaryota; Viridiplantae; Streptophyta; Magnoliopsida; Malpighiales; Euphorbiaceae. The record is from RNAcentral.